RNAcentral lists this ribosomal RNA (253 nucleotides) under uncultured bacterium. RNAcentral's name for it is "partial 16S ribosomal RNA". It matches the Rfam family "Bacterial small subunit ribosomal RNA", at positions 524 to 776 of the family's 1533-position model. The record is from RNAcentral.
UACGGGGGGUGCGAGCGUUAUCCGGAAUCACUGGGCGUAAAGGGCGCGUAGGCGGUUUGUUAAGUCCGAUGUUAAAGACCGAGGCUCAACCUCGAUACGGCGUUGGAUACUGACAAGCUGGACGGUUGGAGAGGAAGGUAGAAUUACCAGUGUAGCGGUGGAAUGCGUAGAUACUGGUAGGAAUACCCAUUGCGAAGGCAGCCUUCUGGACAACACGUGACGCUGAGGCGCGAAAGUGUGGGGAGCAAACCGG